GACGAACGCUGGCGGCGUGCUUAACACAUGCAAGUCGAACGAAGAGCGAUGGAAGCUUGCUUCUAUCAAUCUUAGUGGCGAACGGGUGAGUAACGCGUAAUCAACCUGCCCUUCAGAGGGGGACAACAGUUGGAAACGACUGCUAAUACCGCAUACGAUCCAAUCUCGGCAUCGAGACUGGAUGAAAGGUGGCCUCUAUUUAUAAGCUAUCACUGAAGGAGGGGAUUGCGUCUGAUUAGCUAGUUGGAGGGGUAACGGCCCACCAAGGCGAUGAUCAGUAGCCGGUCUGAGAGGAUGAACGGCCACAUUGGGACUGAGACACGGCCCAGACUCCUACGGGAGGCAGCAGUGGGGAAUCUUCCGCAAUGGACGAAAGUCUGACGGAGCAACGCCGCGUGAGUGAUGACGGCCUUCGGGUUGUAAAGCUCUGUUAAUCGGGACGAAUGGUUCUUGUGCAAAUAGUGCGAG
This 468-nucleotide ribosomal RNA is filed under the name Veillonella atypica. RNAcentral describes it as "bacterial SSU rRNA". It matches the Rfam family "Bacterial small subunit ribosomal RNA", at positions 28 to 471 of the family's 1533-position model. Lineage: Bacteria; Bacillati; Bacillota; Negativicutes; Veillonellales; Veillonellaceae. The record is from RNAcentral.